RNAcentral lists this ribosomal RNA (273 nucleotides) under uncultured bacterium. RNAcentral's name for it is "partial 16S ribosomal RNA". It matches the Rfam family "Bacterial small subunit ribosomal RNA", at positions 524 to 796 of the family's 1533-position model. The record is from RNAcentral.
UACAGAGGUGGCAAGCGUUGUUCGGAAUUACUGGGCGUAAAGGGCGCGUAGGCGGCCGACUAAGUCAGACGUGAAAUCCCCAGGCUUAACUUGGGAACUGCGUCUGAUACUGGAUGGCUUGAGUGCGGGAGAGGGAUGUGGAAUUCCAGGUGUAGCGGUGAAAUGCGUAGAUAUCUGGAGGAACACCGGUGGCGAAGGCGGCAUCCUGGACCGACACUGACGCUGAGGCGCGAAAGCCAGGGGAGCAAACGGGAUUAGAAACCCCAGUAGUCC